CGGGAAGAGCUCAAAUUUAUAAUCUGGCACCUUCGGUGUCCGAGUUGUAAUCUCUAGAAAUGUUUUCCGCGUUGGACCGCACACAAGUCUGUUGGAAUACAGCGGCAUAGUGGUGAGACCCCCGUAUAUGGUGCGGACGCCCAGCGCUUUGUGAUACAUUUUCGAAGAGUCGAGUUGUUUGGGAAUGCAGCUCAAAUUGGGUGGUAAAUUCCAUCUAAAGCUAAAUAUUGGCGAGAGACCGAUAGCGAACAAGUACCGUGAGGGAAAGAUGAAAAGCACUUUGGAAAGAGAGUUAACAGUACGUGAAAUUGUUGGAAGGGAAACGCUUGAAGUCAGACUUGCUUGCCGAGCAAUCGGUUUGCAGGCCAGCAUCAGUUUUCCGGGAUGGAUAAUGGUAGAGAGAAGGUAGCAGUUUCGGCUGUGUUAUAGCU
Molecule: ribosomal RNA, 431 nt
Filed under: Rhodotorula mucilaginosa
Lineage: Eukaryota; Fungi; Basidiomycota; Microbotryomycetes; Sporidiobolales; Sporidiobolaceae
Description: eukaryotic LSU rRNA
Rfam family: Eukaryotic large subunit ribosomal RNA
Source: RNAcentral